GAAAUAGUUCCUGAAACCAUGCGCCUACAAGCGGUCGGAGCUGUUAAUUCAGUGACGGCGUGCCUUUUGCAUAAUGAACCUACGAGUUACCAUGUCUGGCAAGGAUAAGUGCCAUUAGUCACGUAUCCGCAGUGAAAGCGAGCCUGAAUAGGGCGUCGAGUCAGAUGGGGUAGACGCGAAACCAAGUGAUCUACACUUGCCCAGGUUGAAGUCCGGGUAACACCGGAUGGAGGACCGCACGGAUAAGCGUUGAAAAGCUUCCCGAUGAGGUGAGUGUAGGAGUGAAAGGCCAAUCAAACUUGGAGAUAGCUCGUACUCCCCGAAAGGCAUUUAGGUGCCGCGUGCAUCGAUCUCCAUGAGAGGUAGAGCGACCGAUAGGUCAAGAGGGCUUCACCGCCUAUCGAGACCUGACGAACUCCGAAUGCUUAUGGAUAGCAGAUGUGCAGUAAGGGGGCGGGUGCUAAGGUCCGUCCCCGAGAGGAGAAGAAUCCAGACCGCCGUCUAAGGUCCCGAAAUUCUGUCUAAGUUAGUCUAACGAAGUCUGGUCCCCGUGACAGCUAGGAUGUUGGCUUGGAAGCAGCCAUUCAUUCAAAGAGUGCGUAACAGCUCACUAGUCGAGGGUCCGGGCAUGGAUAAUAAUCGGGUAUAAGUCAGAUACCGAAGGCGCGGGAUAGUAAUGUAAAUUAAAAGUAUCGGUAGGGGAGCAUUCCAUCGACGUUGAAUGGUGAAGGUAACUGAUCCUGGAGUUUAUGGAAAAGCAAAUGUAGGUAUAAGUAACGAUAAAAAGGGUGAGAUUCCCUUUCGCCGAAAGACCGAGGUUUCCCGGGCGAUGCCAAUCAGCCCGGGGUUAGUCGGGUCCUAAGUCUCAGCCGAACGGCGAAGGCGAUGGCAGAUGCGGUUAAUAUUCCGCAACUCGCAUAUUCAGUGAUGUGGAGACGGAGCAGUGACACUGCCGCGCCCUGACGGAAUAGGGCGUUUAAGUCUGUAGGCUAUGAGGAUGGCAGGCAAAUCCACCAUCCGAGCUGAACGAUGAAAGUACGGGUUGUCUUUCGGGACGACUUGAGUGCAGGUAAUCAUACUUCCGAGAAAAUCCGCUAAACUUAAUGUUUAUGCGACCCGUACCGCAAACGGACACACGUGGUCGGGUAGAAUAUACUAAGGCGUUGAGAGAUUCAUGGUUAAGGAACUAGGCAAAUUGACCCCGUAACUUCGGGAUAAGGGGUCCUCAUGUAUAAUGAGGCGCAGAGAAUAGGUCCAGGCAACUGUUUAACAAAAACACAGGGCUGUGCAAACUCGAAAGAUGACGUAUACAGCCUGACACCUGCCCGGUGCUGGAAGGUUAAGAGGAGGGGUUAGACUUCGGUCGAAGCUCUGAAUUGAAGCCCCAGUAAACGGCGGCCGUAACUAUAACGGUCCUAAGGUAGCGAAAUUCCUUGUCGGGUAAGUUCCGACCCGCACGAAAGGUGUAACGACUUGCGCACUGUCUCAACGAGGGACCCGGUGAAAUUGAAGUACCUGUGAAGAUGCAGGUUACCCGCGACUGGACAGAAAGACCCCAUGGAGCUUUACUGCAACCUAAGAUUGAACUUAGUUAAUGAAUGUACAGGAUAGGUGGGAGACUUAGAAUCUAGGGCGCCAGUCUUAGAGGAGUCGUUGUUGGGAUACCACCCUUUGAUUAAUUGAUUUCUAACAGGCCGAUUAACAACCGGCUGGACAGUCUUAGGCGGGCAGUUUGACUGGGGCGGUCGCCUCCUAAAGAGUAACGGAGGCGCCCAAAGGUUCCCUCAGAGCGGACGGAAAUCGCUCGAAGAGUGUAAAGGCAGAAGGGAGCUUGACUGCGAGACGGACAGGUCGAGCAGGGACGAAAGUCGGGCUUAGUGAUCCGGUGGUGCCGAGUGGAAGGGCCAUCGCUCAACGGAUAAAAGCUACCCUGGGGAUAACAGGCUAAUCUCUCCCAAGAGUCCAUAUCGACGGGGAGGUUUGGCACCUCGAUGUCGGCUCAUCACAUCCUGGGGCUGAAGUAGGUCCCAAGGGUUCGGCUGUUCGCCGAUUAAAGUGGUACGUGAGCUGGGUUCAGAACGUCGUGAGACAGUUCGGUCCCUAUCCAUCGCGGGCGCAAGAAACUUGAAGGGGGCUGCUCCUAGUACGAGAGGACCGGAGUGGACGAACCGCUGGUGUACCAAUUAUCCUGCCAAGGGUACAGUUGGGUAGCUACGUUCGGGACGGAUAAACGCUGAAAGCAUCUAAGCGUGAAACCAGCCUUGAGAUGAGGUUUCUCAUAGCAUAAGCUAGUAAGAUCCCAUGUAGACGACAUGGUUGAUAGGCCAGGUGUGGAAGAGCCGUGAGGUUUGGAGCUGACUGGUACUAAUAGAUCGAGGGCUUU
Molecule: ribosomal RNA, 2383 nt
Filed under: human oral metagenome
Description: Bacterial large subunit ribosomal RNA
Rfam family: Bacterial large subunit ribosomal RNA
Source: RNAcentral